ACGAAGGUUCGAUUCUGGCUCAGGAUGAACGCUAGCUACAGGCUUAACACAUGCAAGUCGAGGGGCAGCAUAUCGAAAGCUUGCUUUGAUGAUGGCGACCGGCGCACGGGUGAGUAACGCGUAUCCAACCUUCCCUAUACUAGAGGAUAGCCCGGCGAAAGUCGGAUUAAUACUCUAUGUUCUUCGUAGAAGACAUCUGAAAUGAAGCAAAGGUUUACCGGUAUAGGAUGGGGAUGCGUCUGAUUAGGUUGUUGGCGGGGUAACGGCCCACCAAGCCCACGAUCAGUAGGGUUCUGAGAGGAAGGUCCCCCACAUUGGAACUGAGACACGGUCCAAACUCCUACGGGAGGCAGCAGUGAGGAAUAUUGGUCAAUGGACGAGAGUCUGAACCAGCCAAGUAGCCGUGCAGGAUGACGGCCCUAUGGGUUGUAAACUGCUUUUAUACAGGGAUAAAGUGACGUACGUGUACGUUUUUGUAGGUACUGUAUGAAUAAGGACCGGCUAAUUCCGUGCCAGCCGCCGC
RNAcentral lists this ribosomal RNA (523 nucleotides) under uncultured bacterium. Its description in RNAcentral is "bacterial SSU rRNA". It matches the Rfam family "Bacterial small subunit ribosomal RNA", at positions 1 to 518 of the family's 1533-position model. The record is from RNAcentral.